Non-coding RNA from Paramuricea clavata, 239 nucleotides. The record is from the annotation of a GenBank genome assembly. NCBI's taxonomy places the organism in Eukaryota, Metazoa, Cnidaria, Anthozoa, Malacalcyonacea, Plexauridae.
UUUACUCACUUUAGUAUGAUCUUUCUAGCUGCAUGUGGUGAUAUUUUUUUUGCACCUCCUUGCCUAGUUUUAAAAUUCGUCUAUAAUGGGAAUUAGUCUAUUGAUAGGCGUUCCGAGUUUCCUAUUUUAAAGUCUUUUCCGCGAAGACGCGAAAGUCUAACCAUUUACUGAUGUCAAUGUAAAGUAACUCUUUCUCCUCAAUUAUUUGAAGACCUUGAGUAAAGGUCUCUUCAGUUCGG